CCUACGGGAGGCAGCAGUGAGGAAUAUUGGUCAAUGGACGAGAGUCUGAACCAGCCAAGUAGCGUGAAGGAUGACUGCCCUAUGGGUUGUAAACUUCUUUUAUAUGGGAAUAAAACGUUCCACGUGUGGGAUUUUGUAUGUACCAUAUGAAUAAGGAUCGGCUAACUCCGUGCCAGCAGCCGCGGUAAUACGGAGGAUCCGAGCGUUAUCCGGCUUUAUUGGGUUUAAGGGGAGCGUAGGUGGAUUGUUAAGUCAGUUGUGAAAGUUUGCGGCUCAACCGUAAAAUUGCAGUUGAAACUGGCAGUCUUGAGUACAGUAGAGGUGGGCGGAAUUCGUGGUGUAGCGGUGAAAUGCUUAGAUAUCACGAAGAACUCCGAUUGCGAAGGCAGUUCACUGGACUGCAACUGACACUGAGGCUCGAAAGUGUGGGUAUCAAACAGGAUUAGAUACCCUUGUAGUC
This 460-nucleotide ribosomal RNA is filed under the name uncultured bacterium. Its description in RNAcentral is "partial 16S ribosomal RNA". It matches the Rfam family "Bacterial small subunit ribosomal RNA", at positions 338 to 795 of the family's 1533-position model. The record is from RNAcentral.